This 478-nucleotide ribosomal RNA is filed under the name uncultured bacterium. RNAcentral's name for it is "partial 16S ribosomal RNA". It matches the Rfam family "Bacterial small subunit ribosomal RNA", at positions 28 to 507 of the family's 1533-position model. The record is from RNAcentral.
GAUGAACGCUGGCGGCGUGCUUAACACAUGCAAGUCGAACGGGAAACCUUUUAUUGAAGCUUCGGCAGAUUUAGCUGGUUUCUAGUGGCGGACGGGUGAGUAACGCGUGGGUAACCUGCCUUAUACAGGGGGAUAACAACCAGAAAUGGUUGCUAAUACCGCAUAAGCGCACAGGACCGCAUGGUCCGGUGUGAAAAACUCCGGUGGUAUAAGAUGGACCCGCGUUGGAUUAGCUAGUUGGCAGGGUAACGGCCUACCAAGGCGACGAUCCAUAGCCGGCCUGAGAGGGUGAACGGCCACAUUGGGACUGAGACACGGCCCAGACUCCUACGGGAGGCAGCAGUGGGGAAUAUUGCACAAUGGGGGAAACCCUGAUGCAGCGACGCCGCGUGAAGGAAGAAGUAUCUCAGUAUGUAAACUUCUAUCAGCAGGGAAGAUAGUGACGGUACCUGACUAAGAAGCCCCGGCUAACUACGUG